RNAcentral lists this ribosomal RNA (468 nucleotides) under uncultured bacterium. Its description in RNAcentral is "partial 16S ribosomal RNA". It matches the Rfam family "Bacterial small subunit ribosomal RNA", at positions 28 to 507 of the family's 1533-position model. The record is from RNAcentral.
GACGAACGCUGGCGGCGUGCUUAACACAUGCAAGUCGAACGGAAAGGCCCUGCUUUUGUGGGGUGCUCGAGUGGCGAACGGGUGAGUAACACGUGAGUAACCUGCCCUUGACUUUGGGAUAACUUCAGGAAACUGGGGCUAAUACCGGAUAGGAGCUCCUGCUGCAUGGUGGGGGUUGGAAAGUUUCGGCGGUUGGGGAUGGACUCGCGGCUUAUCAGCUUGUUGGUGGGGUAGUGGCUUACCAAGGCUUUGACGGGUAGCCGGCCUGAGAGGGUGACCGGCCACCUUGGGACUGAGGUAAGGCCCAGAAUCCUACGGGAGGCAGCAGUGGGGAAUAUUGCACAAUGGGCGGAAGCCUGAUGCAGCAACGCCGCGUGCGGGAUGACGGCCUUCGGGUUGUAAACCGCUUUCGCCUGUGACGAAGCGUGAGUGACGGUAAUGGGUAAAGAAGCACCGGCUAACUACGUG